Non-coding RNA from Cinara cedri, 1054 nucleotides. Lineage: Eukaryota; Metazoa; Arthropoda; Insecta; Hemiptera; Aphididae. The record is from the annotation of a GenBank genome assembly.
UAAAUAUUUGUAGUCCUCGUCUUUGUGAGUAAUAUAAAAAAAAAAAGAAAACAGAUUUCGAUUAUCAUUACUUCGUCGGGAGGUAUUACAAUGGGUAAUAUGUCUUCGUGGGAUACUCCGUACACAUUAUACGUAUGUAGCCCGUACAUAAGAACGUGCGAAAUUCGUAAAUGUAUCGCACGAGUUCAACGCGUAGACGCGGCCCGAAACCGUUAAGAUUACUUUAAAACUGGUCUGCGAGUCCGCGAAAAAUGUAAAUAAUUAUUAUAAACAGGUGGAUACGCAAACAGAAAAAAAAAUUAUGUUCUCUAUAACGGCACCGCCGAAGAACGAAAAAGUUUCGGUUGUAAUUAAUUUUUAAAAUUGAUACGUUCGCGUAGUAAUGCACCGAAAAAUAUGCGACGACACGCAUUUCAUCCCCUGCUUUAAUUACCGUCUCUGUAUAACAGUGGCGAAACAAGAAAAAAAAAAACUGAAAUCUUUUUAUCGUCAUGGAAAUCAACUCGGCGCGUGACUACGGACGAAAUGAUAAUGUUAUUAUUGUAAUGAUAUACAGUCGACGCAACAUAGCGGUUUAAUAGUUUAAACCAGUCGGGUUAUUAGGUCAAUUGUCAAAAAAAAAAAAAAAAAACAAGUUCUUUAUAGGUUUAACGGUCAGUAAUAAACGAUGAAGUAAUAAUAAUAUUAUGCACGGGACGGCGAUCAGUGGUCACCGUCUUCCUCUCGACUGUCCCAUUCUCCCAACGCUGUAACGUCAUUUUGUAAAGUACAAAGUGUACAAACGCCUCGCGUUAUUCGGAAGAAAAAUUUUUUUAAGCGGUCGGGGUAACUACGCGUAGGGACGUGAAUAUUUUUUGAUAUAAAAUUUCGACUAAAAUAAGCGGUUCUGUGCAUCAUAAAAACAAUUAUUCGUAUAAAUUGUAGCGACGGGAUGAAAUACGCUUCGGGCAAAACAAUAUUGCGCGGGUGAAUUUUCCCUGUAGCUUGGUACAAGUAGGGCGAAUGUUGAAACAAAAAAAUAAAUUGAAAAUCGAGAAAAUAAAUUUAUGUCCGG